AGUCGAACGCGUCUCCGUUAAUGAUUUUAGGUGCUUGCAUUUGAAAGAUUUAACAUUGAGACGAGUGGCGAACUGGUGAGUAACACGUGGGUAACCUGCCCUUGAAGUAGGGGAUAACACUUGGAAACAGGUGCUAAUACCGUAUAACAACCAAAACCACCUGGUUUUGGUUUAAAAGACGGCUUCGGCUGUCACUUUAGGAUGGACCCGCGGCGUAUUAGCUUGUUGGUAAGGUAACGGCCUACCAAGGCGAUGAUACGUAGCCGACCUGAGAGGGUAAUCGGCCACAUUGGGACUGAGACACGGCCCAAACUCCUACGGGAGGCAGCAGUAGGGAAUCUUCCACAAUGGACGAAAGUCUGAUGGAGCAACGCCGCGUGAGUGAUGAAGGGUUUCGGCUCGUAAAACUCUGUUGUUGGAGAAGAACAGGUGUCAGAGUAACUGUUGACAUCUUGACGGUAUCCAACCAGAAAGCCACGGCUAACUACGUGCCAGCAGCCGCGGUAAUACGUAGGUGGCAAGCGUUGUCCGGAUUUAUUGGGCGUAAAGCGAGCGCAGGCGGUUUUUUAGGUCUGAUGUGAAAGCCUUCGGCUUAACCGGAGAAGUGCAUCGGAAACCGGGAGACUUGAGUGCAGAAGAGGACAGUGGAACUCCAUGUGUAGCGGUGAAAUGCGUAGAUAUAUGGAAGAACACCAGUGGCGAAGGCGGCUGUCUGGUCUGUAACUGACGCUGAGGCUCGAAAGCAUGGGUAGCGAACAGGAUUAGAUACCCUGGUAGUCCAUGCCGUAAACGAUGAGUGCUAAGUGUUGGAGGGUUUCCGCCCUUCAGUGCUGCAGCUAACGCAUUAAGCACUCCGCCUGGGGAGUACGACCGCAAGGU
Molecule: ribosomal RNA, 879 nt
Filed under: uncultured bacterium
Lineage: Bacteria
Description: bacterial SSU rRNA
Rfam family: Bacterial small subunit ribosomal RNA
Source: RNAcentral